CUGGUUUCUGUGGAUGGGGAAUUCACAUGGGCUACAGCAGGCCCUCUAAUCUUCUACGUUCGGAGUCUCAGGUGGAGGAUGAGCAGGCUUGGGGUUAGAAUCACCUGAAGACUCCUUCCCUCCUGGGCGGGCCUAGCUGGAUGUGCAGCCUGCAAUACCCCUCACAACCCUCCACCCUCUCUCUGGUUCCGGGGGUGCAUCGAGGAGAUGCCACCCACAAAAUGAAAUGUGUGGGAGUUAUUAUUUCGGAGAACCUGGGUUAGGUGAUUAUUUAAAUGUUUUGGUCAGGAUUUCUGAAGAAAAUACAGAGUAAGUUCAAACUAGGUAAAAGGAUUAUUUUUAAAAGCAUGGGGAGAGUUUAAGAAAAACCAAAAAUAAGGGAUUAUGUAGAACUCCAGAAGUAGCAACAGGAGAGAGCCAUUACCUGUCCCAGGAUUGAAGGGACCCUGAGGCUAUUUGAAGAGAGUGUCUGUGGCCUUUAGGGAGGGAGGCAGAUAACCAAGGAUGAGCUGGGGGAGUAGGAGGAGAGUGACUAAACCCUGUCACCUCAUUGUCCUCCUGCCCUCUGAUCCCCAUGUCUAACGCCCCUGAAGGCCGUAUGGCCAGACCAGUCUCCCAGGAUCUGGAGUAGGGUGAUGGUGAGAUGGUGGAGAAUGGGUCUGGACAGGCAAACAGAAGGUAUCCAACACACCAAGAUAUCACCAGGGUCCGGCUGGGGGAGGGAGGAGUGUGUUUUGGUGAGUCACCAGUUGUCCCUUAUAGAGCUUCAGGUGAAUGCUGCUGGAGUCUGUGAGGCCUCCAUUAACAGACUUUCUAUUAUAUUUUAUCUUAUGAAAUUCCCAUUUUUGUAGGUAAAAUAAACUGGAAAAAUAGGCAAUUGCAUGUAGUUCAACUUAAUAUUCUGGGUACUUUCCAAUAAAGCUGCUAUUAGAUAACUGUUCAUAUUAGAUCACUAAAAAUGUGGCUCCUCAUUGUUUUAUUGUUGAGUAUUUUCUGUAUUAGAACUGCCUAAAAUACUUAAGUGGAAUGGGUAUUCUAAUUGGCCCACAAUAAACACCAGCCAAGGGAUGCUGGCAUCCUCUAGAAGACAGAAGAGGUAAGGAAGGGAUUCUCUUCCAAAAGGAACCAGCUCUGCAGAAACGUUCAUUUCAGUCCUAUACGAUUUUAUUCAGACCUCUGAUCUCCAGAACUGUAAAAGAAUAAAUUUGUGUUGUUUUAAGCCAAAUUUGUGAUAACUUAUAAAAGCAGCCAUAGGAAACUAAUAAUUGUGGUUUCCCUAGUUAUGUGAGUAUAGAGUGAGGAGGUAUGCAUGAGGAUAGAGUCCUUUCGACACCAUGUUGUUACUCCUUACAAACUCAGAUGCGAAAUUUGCACGAAGAGGAUAGCAGCCUCAGAAAGAUUGGGACCAAAACACGCACCCAGAAAUUUGGGGUUAGAGUGAUCUGUCAGGGUAGACUCGGAUGGUUCCCAGCAAGACACGGUAACAGAGAAGGCCAAUGGGAUGCCUGGGAAUACAGUGUCCUUAGAAAAGCGAGGAGGUCUUGGCUGAUCCAGGCUCGACAUAAGAUCCCAAGUGUUGUUGGGGGCACGACUGAUCUGGCACAGCUGAUGAUGUAUGUUACAAGGCCCUCAGGACCCAGCUGCCCAGAGAUGGUGUUUUUAGGGAAUAAUGGCUGAGCAAGACAUUGUGGACAAAUAAUGAGAGCUCUACUCCAGGAAUCCAAGCAGGAGGCGUCCCUGAAGCCAGAGCACCGGCUUGGACCAGCUCAGCAAGGGUUAACAAGGACCUGAGGAACUCUGGGGACCAGGUUUCCGCAGUGGCUCUGUGUGGCAGUGAGAAACACUGGUAGCAGUGGGCCAACUGGACUUCAGUCGUCUCUCCACUGGGCCUCUCAGCAAGGAUUGACCGGAUUGGCACUGAGUGAUCCCUGGAGGUUGCUGGUCCACCUCCAGUGCCUCAGGACCAGCUGACCCAUGAAGUCACGGAACUCCACACCCAGUAAUCCCAGGACUUUCUACGUGUUCCCAUCCCAUUCCAGCUGGACCCGUUUGUUGUCCCUUGGAUCAGCCUCUCAGCCCUGCUGUAGCCUGUGGUUCGAAUCUUCAUACUUGGUUUCCCCAGCCAUGACUCCUCGUGCUUCUUAAGAACAAUGGUUUGCACCCUCCAUUUCUUUUCUGGGUUUUGGUUCCUUUUUGUUGCAUUCCUAACCUAGCUUUAACAUGUCAGGCUCUAGUCCUCAAGCCUUGAGGUGUCUGACCGGUGCCCCUGUUGAGCCCAUUCAAGUUAUAAUGCAGUUAUACAUUUAAGAGUGAACAAAACAAGAUUGAUAGUCGUCAUGGCACAAGUGUUUUUAUGCUUAAAUGAAGAAUCACUUUUAUGACACAUUUG
Equus asinus (donkey) is the source of this 2389-nucleotide long non-coding RNA. NCBI's taxonomy places the organism in Eukaryota, Metazoa, Chordata, Mammalia, Perissodactyla, Equidae. The record is from Ensembl.